UGGACUUACAGACAGGUGCAAAAAAUAAAUCCUCUUUUGCAACCCAGAACUCAUUGUUCUGUAUGAGUUUUGAUACAUAUAAGAAGGAAUAUU
RNAcentral lists this small nucleolar RNA (93 nucleotides) under Propithecus coquereli (Coquerel's sifaka). RNAcentral's name for it is "Small nucleolar RNA SNORA40 (ENSPCOG00000007314.1)". It matches the Rfam family "Small nucleolar RNA SNORA40", at positions 36 to 128 of the family's 128-position model. Rfam says of the family: The snoRNA ACA 40 belongs to the H/ACA family of snoRNAs and guides the pseudouridylation of 28S rRNA subunit at position U4565. NB This family has a high threshold value to exclude a large number of closely related sequences that do not appear to have conserved H and ACA boxes, and may be pseudogenes. The record is from RNAcentral. Lineage: Eukaryota; Metazoa; Chordata; Mammalia; Primates; Indriidae.